UUAACCUAGCGGCGGACGGGUGAGUAAUGCUUAGGAAUCUGCCUAUUAGUGGGGGACAACAUCUCGAAAGGGAUGCUAAUACCGCAUACGUCCUACGGGAGAAAGCAGGGGACCUUCGGGCCUUGCGCUAAUAGAUGAGCCUAAGUCGGAUUAGCUAGUUGGUGGGGUAAAGGCCUACCAAGGCGACGAUCUGUAGCGGGUCUGAGAGGAUGAUCCGCCACACUGGGACUGAGACACGGCCCAGACUCCUACGGGAGGCAGCAGUGGGAAUAUUGGACAAUGGGGGGAACCCUGAUCCAGCCAUGCCGCGUGUGUGAAGAAGGCCUUUUGGUUGUAAAGCACUUUAAGCGAGGAGGAGGCUACCGAGAUUAAUACUCUUGGAUAGUGGACGUUACUCGCAGAAUAAGCACCGGCUAACUCUGUGCCAGCAGCCGCGGUAAUACAGAGGGUGCAAGCGUUAAUCGGAUUUACUGGGCGUAAAGCGCGCGUAGGUGGCCAAUUAAGUCAAAUGUGAAAUCCCCGAGCUUAACUUGGGAAUUGCAUUCGAUACUGGUUGGCUAGAGUAUGGGAGAGGAUGGUAGAAUUCCAGGUGUAGCGGUGAAAUGCGUAGAGAUCUGGAGGAAUACCGAUGGCGAAGGCAGCCAUCUGGCCUAAUACUGACACUGAGGUGCGAAAGCAUGGGGAGCAAACAGGAUUAGAUACCCUGGUAGUCCAUGCCGUAAACGAUGUCUACUAGCCGUUGGGGUCUUUGAGACUUUAGUGACGCAGCUAACGCGAUAAGUAGACCGCCUGGGGAGUACG
RNAcentral lists this ribosomal RNA (801 nucleotides) under uncultured bacterium. Its description in RNAcentral is "bacterial SSU rRNA". It matches the Rfam family "Bacterial small subunit ribosomal RNA", at positions 87 to 884 of the family's 1533-position model. The record is from RNAcentral.